GAGCCCGGAUAGCUCAGUCGGUAGAGCAU
Molecule: non-coding RNA, 29 nt
Filed under: Xenopus tropicalis (tropical clawed frog)
Lineage: Eukaryota; Metazoa; Chordata; Amphibia; Anura; Pipidae
Also listed under: 2 other names
Source: RNAcentral